Molecule: ribosomal RNA, 780 nt
Filed under: uncultured bacterium
Lineage: Bacteria
Description: bacterial SSU rRNA
Rfam family: Bacterial small subunit ribosomal RNA
Source: RNAcentral
GGCGCACGGGUGCGAAACGGUUAUGCCAACUUACCUUUCGAAGGGGAAAACCCGGUGAAAGCCGGACUAAUUCCGCAUACAAUAAUUUUUCGCCCUGGAUUAAUUAGGAAAGAUUUAUCGCUGACAGAUAGGCAUGCGUCCCAUUAGCUUGUGGGUGAGGUAACGGCUCACCAAGGCAACGAUGGGUAGGGGAACUGAGAGGGUGAUCGGCCACACUGGGACUGAGACACGGCCCAGACUCUUACGGGAGGCAGCAGUAGGGAAUCUUCGGCAAUGGGGGCAACCCUGACCGAGCAACGCCGCGUGAGUGAAGAAGGUUUUCGGAUCGUAAAGCUCUGCUGUAAGAGAAGAACGUGUGUGAGAGUGGAAAGUUCACACAGUGACGGUAACUUACCAGAAAGGGACGGCUAACUACGUGCCAGCAGCCGCGGUAAUACGUAGGUCCCGAGCGUUGUCCGGAUUUAUUGGGCGUAAAGCGAGCGCAGGCGGUUUAAUAAGUCUGAAGUUAAAGGCAGUGGCUUAACCAUUGUUCGCUUUGGAAACUGUUAAACUUGAGUGCAGAAGGGGAGAGUGGAAUUCCAUGUGUAGCGGUGAAAUGCGUAGAUAUAUGGAAGAACACCAGUGGCGAAGGCGGCUCUCUGGUCUGCAACUGACGCUGAGGCUCGAAAGCAUGGGUAGCGAACAGGAUUAGAUACCCUGGUAGUCCAUGCCGUAAACGAUGAGUGCUAAGUGUUGGGAGGUUCCGCCUCUCAGUGCUGCAGCUAACGCAUAAGCACUCCG